UUUUUCGAGAGUUUGAUCCUGGCUCAGGAUGAACGCUGGCUGUGUGCCUAAUACAUGCAUGUCGAGCGAAGUACUUCUGUACUUAGCGGCGAAUGGGUGAGUAACACGUACUCAACGUACCCUUCAGAUUGGGAUAGCGGUUGGAAACAACCGAUAAUACCAAAUACUUGUAAUUAUCGCAUGAUGAUUACAUAAAAGGCGCGUUUGCGCCACUGGAGGAGCGGGGUGCGUAACAUUAGCUUGUUGGUGAGGUAACGGCCCACCAAGGCGAUGAUGUUUAGCGGGGUUGAGAGACUGAACCGCCACACUGGGACUGAGAUACGGCCCAGACUCCUACGGGAGGCAGCAGUAGGGAAUAUUCCACAAUGGACGAAAGUCUGAUGGAGCGACACAGCGUGCAGGAUGAAGGCCCCAUGGGUUGUAAACUGCUGUGGUAAGGGAAUAAAAAAUAGCAUAGGAAAUGAUGCUACAUUGAAUGUACCUUAUUAGAAAGCAACGGCUAACUAUGUGCCAGCAGCCGCGGUAAUACAUAGGUUGCAAGCGUUAUCCGGAAUUAUUGGGCGUAAAGCGUCUGUAGGUUGUUUAUUAAGUCUGGCGUUAAAUUUUGGGGCUCAACCCCAAACCGCGUUGGAUACUGGUAAACUAGAGUUAUGUAGAGGUUAGCGGAAUUCCUUGUGAAGCGGUGAAAUGCGUAGAUAUAAGGAAGAACACCAACAUGGCGAAGGCAGCUAACUGGACAUACACUGACACUGAGAGACGAAAGCGUGGGGAGCAAACAGGAUUAGAUACCCUGGUAGUCCACGCCCUAAACGAUGAUCAUUAGCUGAUGGGGAACUCAUCGGCGCAGCUAACGCAUUAAAUGAUCCGCCUGAGUAGUACGUUCGCAAGAAUAAAACUUAAAGGAAUUGACGGGGACCCGCACAAGCGGUGGAGCAUGUGGUUUAAUUUGAAGAUACGCGUAGAACCUUACCCACUCUUGACAUCUCCGUGCAUGGUUGUCGUCAGCUCGUGUCGUGAGAUGUUCGGUUAAGUCCUGCAACGAGCGCAACCCCUAUCCUUAGUUACUAACAUUUAGUUGAGCACUCUAAGGAGACUGCCCGAGUAAUCGGGAGGAAGGUGGGGACGACGUCAAAUCAUCAUGCCUCUUACGAGUGGGGCAACACACGUGCUACAAUGGCCGAUACAAAGUGAAGCAACCCAGCGAUGGUGAGCAAACCACAAAAAAUCGGUCUCAGUUCGGAUUGGAGUCUGCAACUCGACUCCAUGAAGUCGGAAUCGCUAGUAAUCGUAGAUCAGCUACGCUACGGUGAAUACGUUCUCGGGUCUUGUACACACCGCCCGUCAAACCAUGGGAGCUGGUAAUGCCCGAAGUCGGUUUAUUAACAAACUGCCUAAGGCAGGACUGGUGACUGGGGUUAAGUCGUAACAAGGUAUCCCUACGAGAACGUGGGGAUGGAUCACCUCCUUU
This is a ribosomal RNA of 1468 nucleotides. It matches the Rfam family "Bacterial small subunit ribosomal RNA".